AGAAUUUGAACUUUUGGUCUCAAAAUGAAAGAUAUGAAAAUCCUCUUCGUUCUUUUGCUUAUUUUCUCAAUUGAUUUUGGUAUGAGUUUUGAUACUUGAAUUUAUUUUGUGUUAAAUUUCACGAUUUUUUGUCUCUUUAAUCAAUCAUGUUCAUGAUAGAAUGGAUUUUUUUAUUUUGUGCAGGAAAUCAAGUGCAAUUACUGGAGGCAAAACAAUGUUUUUAUGUUAUACCUGGUUAUUGUAAUACAUGGAAGAAUUUUGUUUGUGUAUUAACUUGCAAGGGUGUAUGCAAAUCAUUUUCUGCGCAUGGAGAAUGUCGCGACGACCGAGGUUGUCAUUGUCGUUGUUGUUGAUUAAAUUGUUAUAUACAACAAUGGAACAUUCAUUGUGUGAAAUUAUUAAAUAAGAACUAUAUUAAUAAAGUGUGGCUGCAUUGCAUAUUUCUCCUUUUCUCAAAUUUUUAGUAGUUGAAGAGUGUACGUUUUUGUUAGUUAACGUUCCUUUGUAGGAUAAUACGUGUGAUGUUUGGUCUUGGAACAAUGCUCAUGGUAGUUCUUAUUU
This 561-nucleotide long non-coding RNA is filed under the name Medicago truncatula (barrel medic). Its description in RNAcentral is "long non-coding RNA (MTRU_LNC007908)". The record is from RNAcentral. Lineage: Eukaryota; Viridiplantae; Streptophyta; Magnoliopsida; Fabales; Fabaceae.